AGUGAACGCUGGCGGUAGGCCUAACACAUGCAAGUCGAACGGCAGCACCGUAAGAGCUUGCUCUUACGGGUGGCGAGUGGCGGACGGGUGCGGAAUACAUCGGAAUCUACUUUUUCGUGGGGGAUAACGUAGGGAAACUUACGCUAAUACCGCAUACGACCUACGGGUGAAAGCAUGGGAUCUUCGGACCUUGCGCGAUUGAAUGAGCCGAUGUCGGAUUAGCUAGUUGGCGGGGUAAAGGCCCACCAAGGCGACGAUCCGUAGCUGGUCUGAGAGGAUGAUCAGCCACACUGGAACUGAGACACGGUCCAGACUCCUACGGGAGGCAGCAGUGGGGAAUAUUGGACAAUGGGCGCAAGCCUGAUCCAGCCAGACCGCGUGGGUGAAGAAGGCCUUCGGGUUGUAAAGCCCUUUUGUUGGGAAAGAAAAGCAGCAGGUUAAUACCCCGCUGUUCUGACGGUACCCAAAGAAUAAGCACCGGCUAACUUCGUG
Molecule: ribosomal RNA, 492 nt
Filed under: uncultured bacterium
Lineage: Bacteria
Description: partial 16S ribosomal RNA
Rfam family: Bacterial small subunit ribosomal RNA
Source: RNAcentral